UAAUACGGAGGAUCCAAGCGUUAUCCGGAAUCAUUGGGUUUAAAGGGUCCGUAGGCGGUUUUAUAAGUCAGUGGUGAAAUCCGGUAGCUCAACUAUCGAACUGCCAUUGAUACUGUAGAACUUGAAUUAUUGUGAAGUAACUAGAAUAUGUAGUGUAGCGGUGAAAUGCUUAGAUAUUACAUGGAAUACCAAUUGCGAAGGCAGGUUACUAACAAUACAUUGACGCUGAUGGACGAAAGCGUGGGGAGCGAACAGGAUUAGAUACCCUGGUAGUCCACGCCGUAAACGAUGGAUACUAGCUGUUCGGCAGCAAUGCUGAGUGGCUAAGCGAAAGUGAUAAGUAUCCCACCUGGGGAGUACGAACGCAAGUUUG
This 373-nucleotide ribosomal RNA is filed under the name uncultured bacterium. Its description in RNAcentral is "bacterial SSU rRNA". It matches the Rfam family "Bacterial small subunit ribosomal RNA", at positions 521 to 896 of the family's 1533-position model. The record is from RNAcentral.